This 491-nucleotide ribosomal RNA is filed under the name uncultured bacterium. RNAcentral's name for it is "bacterial SSU rRNA". It matches the Rfam family "Bacterial small subunit ribosomal RNA", at positions 30 to 523 of the family's 1533-position model. The record is from RNAcentral.
AUUGAACGCUGGCGGCAGGCCUAACACAUGCAAGUCGAGCGUGAAAGUCCUUCGGGAUGAGUAAAGCGGCGGACGGGUGAGUAACGCGUAGGAAUCUACCUAAUAGUGGGGGAUAACGUUUCGAAAGGAACGCUAAUACCGCAUACGUUCUGAGGAAGAAAGCAGGGGAUCGCAAGACCUUGCGCUAUUAGAUGAGCCUGCGUCCGAUUAGCUAGUUGGUGGGGUAAAGGCCUACCAAGGCGACGAUCGGUAACUGGUCUGAGAGGAUGAUCAGUCACACUGGAACUGAGACACGGUCCAGACUCCUACGGGAGGCAGCAGUGGGGAAUAUUGGACAAUGGGCGAAAGCCUGAUCCAGCAAUGCCGCGUGCAGGAAGAAGGCCUUCUGGGUUGUAAACUGCUUUUAUCUGGGGAUAAAAAGGCCUUGCGAGGCAAACUGAAGGUACCAGAUGAAUAAGCCACGGCUAACUACGUGCCAGCAGCCGCGGUAA